GUUUCCGACAGAAGAUUAUGCUAAAAUUUGGUAUGAUACAGAGAAGAUUAACAUGAUCCUGCUCAAGAAUGACAUGCAAAAUCGUAAAGCGUUCUAUAUUUGU
Molecule: non-coding RNA, 103 nt
Organism: Phlebotomus papatasi
Lineage: Eukaryota; Metazoa; Arthropoda; Insecta; Diptera; Psychodidae
Source: Rfam